RNAcentral lists this ribosomal RNA (493 nucleotides) under uncultured bacterium. Its description in RNAcentral is "partial 16S ribosomal RNA". It matches the Rfam family "Bacterial small subunit ribosomal RNA", at positions 30 to 523 of the family's 1533-position model. The record is from RNAcentral.
AUUGAACGCUGGCGGAAUGCUUUACACAUGCAAGUCGAACGGUAACAGGUUAAGCUGACGAGUGGCGAACGGGUGAGUAAUACAUCGGAACGUGCCCAGUCGUGGGGGAUAACGUAGAGAAAUUUACGCUAAUACCGCAUACGAUCUAAGGAUGAAAGCGGGGGACCGUAAGGCCUCGCGCGAUUGGAGCCGCCGAUGUCAGAAUAGGUAGUUGGUGGGGUAAAGGCCUACCAAGCCGACGAUCUGUAGCUGGUCUGAGAGGACGACCAGCCACACGGGGACUGAGACACGGCCCAGACUCCUGCCGGAGGAAGCAGUGGGGAAUUUUGGACAAUGCGCGCAAGCCUGAUCCAGCCAUUCCGCGUGAAGGAUGAAGUCCUUCUGGUUGUAAUCUGCUUUUGUACAGAACAAAAAGGUCUGGGUUAAUACCCUGGGCUCAUGACGGUACUGUAAGAAUAAGCACCGGCUAAGUACGUGCCAGCCGCCGCAGUAA